Small nucleolar RNA from Artibeus jamaicensis (Jamaican fruit-eating bat), 112 nucleotides. RefSeq annotates it as small nucleolar RNA SNORA79. The transcript has a single exon. NCBI's taxonomy places the organism in Eukaryota, Metazoa, Chordata, Mammalia, Chiroptera, Phyllostomidae. The record is from RefSeq and is a predicted model, not a curated record.
CAUUGGGAAGAAGAGAUUUUCAUUGGGAAGAAAUUUGAUUUUCUUCAUUCAGGAAAUAUUAGGAUAAUUGGGUUAUCUGUUUAUAUUCUGAAAUUUGCAGGAUCAAACACUU